RNAcentral lists this transfer RNA (72 nucleotides) under Candidatus Levyibacteriota bacterium. RNAcentral's name for it is "Candidatus Levybacteria bacterium tRNA-His". It matches the Rfam family "tRNA". Rfam says of the family: Transfer RNA (tRNA) molecules are approximately 80 nucleotides in length. Their secondary structure includes four short double-helical elements and three loops (D, anti-codon, and T loops). Further hydrogen bonds mediate the characteristic L-shaped molecular structure. tRNAs have two regions of fundamental functional importance: the anti-codon, which is responsible for specific mRNA codon recognition, and the 3' end, to which the tRNAs corresponding amino acid is attached (by aminoacyl-tRNA synthetases). tRNAs cope with the degeneracy of the genetic code in two manners: having more than one tRNA (with a specific anti-codon) for a particular amino acid; and 'wobble' base-pairing, i.e. permitting non-standard base-pairing at the 3rd anti-codon position. Lineage: Bacteria; Candidatus Levyibacteriota. The record is from RNAcentral.
GUGGCUGUAGCUCAGUGGUAGAGCACUAGCUUGUGGAGCUAGCCGUCGCGGGUUCAAAUCCCGUCAGCCACC